Molecule: ribosomal RNA, 497 nt
Filed under: uncultured bacterium
Lineage: Bacteria
Description: partial 16S ribosomal RNA
Rfam family: Bacterial small subunit ribosomal RNA
Source: RNAcentral
GAUGAACGCUGGCGGCGUGCCUAAUACAUGCAAGUCGAGCGAACGGACGAGUAGCUUGCUUUUCUGAUGUUAGCGGCGGACGGGUGAGUAACACGUGGAUAACCUACCUAUAAGACUGGGAUAACUUCGGGAAACCGGAGCUAAUACCGGAUAAUAUUUUGAACCGCAUGGUUCAAAAGUGAAAGACGGUCUUGCUGUCACUUAUAGAUGGAUCCGCGCUGCAUUAGCUAGUUGGUAAGGUAACGGCUUACCAAGGCAACGAUGCAUAGCCGACCUGAGAGGGUGAUCGGCCACACUGGAACUGAGACACGGUCCAGACUCCUACGGGAGGCAGCAGUAGGGAAUCUUCCGCAAUGGGCGAAAGCCUGACGGAGCAACGCCGCGUGAGUGAUGAAGGUCUUCGGAUCGUAAAACUCUGUUAUUAGGGAAGAACAAAUGUGUAAGUAACUGUGCACAUCUUGACGGUACCUAAUCAGAAAGCCACGGCUAACUACGUG